UUUGACGGUACCUGCAGAAGAAGCCCCGGCUAACUACGUGCCAGCAGCCGCGGUAAUACGUAGGUGGCGAGCGUUAUCCGGAUUUAUUGGGUUUAAAGGGAGCGUAGAUGGAUGUUUAAGUCAGUUGUGAAAGUUUGCGGCACAACCGUAAAAUUGCAGUUGAUACUGGAUAUCUUGAGUGCAGUUGAGGCAGGCGGAAUUCGUGGUGUAGCGGUGAAAUGCUUAGAUAUCACGAAGAACUCCGAUUGCGAAGGCAGCCUGCUAAGCUGCAACUGACAUUGAGGCUCGAAAGUGUGGGUAUCAAACAGAAUUAGAUACCCUGGUAGUCCACACGGUAAACGAUGAAUACUCGCUGUUUGCGAUAUACAGCAAGCGGCCAAGCGAAAGCGUUAAGUAUUCCACUUGGGGAGUACGCCGGCAACGGUGAAACUCAAAGGAAUUGACGGGGGCCCGCACAAGCGGAGGAACAUGUGGUUUAAUUCGAUGAUACGCGAGGAACCUUACCCGGGCUUAAAUUGCAGAUGAAUUACGGUGAAAGCCGUAAGCCGCAAGGCAUCUGUGAAGGUGCUGCAUGGUUGUCGUCAGCUCGUGCCGUGAGGUGUCGGCUUAAGUGCCAUAACGAGCGCAACCCUUGCCGAUAGUUACUAACAGGUUAUGCUGAGGACUCUGUCGGGACUGCCAUCGUAAGAUGUGAGGAAGGUGGGGAUGACGUCAAAUCAGCACGGCCCUUACGUCCGGGGCUACACACGUGUUACAAUGGGAGGUACAGCAGGCAGCUACCUGGCGACAGGAUGCUAAUCCCGAAAACCCCUCUCAGUUCGGACUGGAGUCUGCAACCCGACUCCACGAAGCUGGAUUCGCUAGUAAUCGCGCAUCAGCCACGGCGCGGUGAAUACGUUCCCGGGCCUUGCACUCACCGCCCGUCAAG
This 928-nucleotide ribosomal RNA is filed under the name uncultured bacterium. Its description in RNAcentral is "bacterial SSU rRNA". It matches the Rfam family "Bacterial small subunit ribosomal RNA", at positions 468 to 1401 of the family's 1533-position model. The record is from RNAcentral.